AACACUGUUAACCUGCGGUACCUGCGGAAGGAUCAUUACAGAGUUCGUGCCCUCGCGGGUAGAUCUCCCACCCUUGUGUAUUUUCUACAUCUUGUUGCUUUGGCAGGCCGUUGGUUCGCCAACCACCGGCUCGCGGGCUGGUGCGUGCCUGCCAGAGGACCUCUCAAACUCGGUUUGUUAGUGUCGUCUGAGUACCAUAACAAUCGUUAAAACUUUUAACAAUGGAUCUCAGAUCGGAAG
This 240-nucleotide unclassified non-coding RNA is filed under the name soil metagenome. Its description in RNAcentral is "partial contains 5.8S ribosomal RNA, internal transcribed spacer 2, and large subunit ribosomal RNA". The record is from RNAcentral.